This 92-nucleotide transfer RNA is filed under the name bacterium. RNAcentral describes it as "tRNA-Ser". It matches the Rfam family "tRNA". Rfam says of the family: Transfer RNA (tRNA) molecules are approximately 80 nucleotides in length. The record is from RNAcentral. RNAcentral also lists the same sequence under 1 other name.
GGAGAGGUGUCCGAGUGGCCGAAGGAGACCGCCUCGAAAGCGGUUAGCCGAUUAAUUUUGGCUCGUGGGUUCAAAUCCCACCCUCUCCGCCA